GACGAACGCUGGCGGCGUGCUUAACACAUGCAAGUCGAACGGAAAGGCCCUGCUUUUGUGGGGUGCUCGAGUGGCGAACGGGUGAGUAACACGUGAGUAACCUGCCCUUGACUUUGGGAUAACUUCAGGAAACUGGGGCUAAUACCGGAUAGGAGCUCCUGCUGCAUGGUGGGGGUUGGAAAGUUUCGGCGGUUGGGGAUGGACUCGCGGCUUAUCAGCUUGUUGGUGGGGUAGUGGCUUACCAAGGCUUUGACGGGUAGCCGGCCUGAGAGGGUGACCGGCCACAUUGGGACUGAGAUACGGCCCAGACUCCUACGGGAGGCAGCAGUGGGGAAUAUUGCACAAUGGGCGGAAGCCUGAUGCAGCAACGCCGCGUGCGGGAUGACGGCCUUCGGGUUGUAAACCGCUUUCGCCUGUGACGAAGCGUGAGUGACGGUAAUGGGUAAAGAAGCACUGGCUAACUACGUGCCAGCAGCCGCGGUGAUACGUAGGGUGCGAGCGUUGUCCGGAUUUAUUGGGCGUAAGGGGCUCGUAGGUGGUUGAUCGCGUCGGAAGUGUAAUCUUGGGGCUUAACCCUGAGCGUGCUUUCGAUACGGGUUGACUUGAGGAAGGUAGGGGAGAAUGGAAUUCCUGGUGGAGCGGUGGAAUGCGCAGAUAUCAGGAGGAACACCAGUGGCGAAGGCGGUUCUCUGGGCCUUUCCUGACGCUGAGGAGCGAAAGCGUGGGGAGCGAACAGGCUUAGAUACCCUGGUAGUCCACGCUGUAAACGGUGGGUACUGGGUGUGGGGUCCAUUCCACGGGUUCCGUGCCGUAGCUAACGCUUUAAGUACCCCGCCUGGGGAGUACGGCCGCAAGGCUAAAACUCAAAGGAAUUGACGGGGCCCCGCACAAGCGGCGGAGCAUGCGGAUUAAUUCGAUGCAACGCGUAGAACCUUACCUGGGUUUGACAUGGAUCGGGAGUGCUCAGAGAUGGGUGUGCCUCUUUUGGGGUCGGUUCACAGGUGGUGCAUGGCUGUCGUCAGCUCGUGUCGUGAGAUGUUGGGUUAAGUCCCGCAACGAGCGCAACCCUUGUUCACUGUUGCCAGCACGUUAUGGUGGGGACUCAGUGGAGACCGCCGGGGUCAACUCGGAGGAAGGUGGGGAUGACGUCAAGUCAUCAUGCCCCUUAUGUCCAGGGCUUCACGCAUGCUACAAUGGCUGGUACAGAGAGUGGCGAGCCUGUGAGGGUGAGCGAAUCUCGGAAAGCCGGUCUCAGUUCGGAUUGGGGUCUGCAACUCGACCUCAUGAAGUCGGAGUCGCUAGUAAUCGCAGAUCAGCAACGCUGCGGUGAAUACGUUCCCGGGGCUUGUACACACCGCCCGUCAAGUCAUGAAAGUUGGUAACACCCGAAGCCGGUGGCCUAACCGUUGUGGGGGAGCCGUCGAAGGUGGGACUGGUGAUUAGGACUAAGUCGUAACAAGGUAGCCGUACCGGAAGG
Molecule: ribosomal RNA, 1477 nt
Filed under: uncultured bacterium
Lineage: Bacteria
Description: 16S ribosomal RNA
Rfam family: Bacterial small subunit ribosomal RNA
Source: RNAcentral